Molecule: long non-coding RNA, 3617 nt
Organism: Pezoporus flaviventris
Lineage: Eukaryota; Metazoa; Chordata; Aves; Psittaciformes; Psittacidae
Exons: 4
Source: RefSeq, a predicted model, not a curated record
UUUAAAUUACAGACAGUUAGCUGAGUACCUUCCAUAAAAACUCCAGAUUAAGUUUUGCUUCAUAUUCCCAUGAAGCAGACCAGUUUUCUAAAAUUCUGGAAAUGAAGAGGCUAAUAUGCCAAUAUGGAAAUCAUCUGCCAGAAGUCAUACAGAAAUAUGGAAAGUACAUGGUUCAGGCUCCAAGACAAGAUCAGCCUUUUUCCAGUAGUACAAGGCAACCUCCAACUUACCCUUUUACUGCUGUAGAAUAACUCUAAAAACAAAAGUAGUAUUCAUUGAUAACUCCUAAAUCCUCCAGUCCGUGAAAUACUAGGCAAUCAUUAAAUGCUACUUUACAACAUGUUUGACUGUCUCUGGCCAGAAGCAAAUAGCUAGCAUUACGUAUGCCUGCACUGAAUUUACUCAGGAGGUCAAAGCCAAAUGCCAUGUAGUCAUCUGAAAUGCCAAACUGAGUAGCAAAUUAGGUAACUACACAUGCAUUGAUGUGAAUUAACAAAUAACACUGUCAACAGGUCUAUUUUUUACAAUGCAGGUUUUGUUCUGCUGGUAUUUGAACCGUUUAGACAAGAAUCUCAUUAGGUAAGGGCACGUAACACCACUCAGAGAGCCAGAAUUUCCCACGAAACAAGGUUUCUAUAUUGAGGAUUUUCCCACAAGUCCUUAUGCUAUAGUAACCUGGAAUUUCAGCCUGUGUAGAAAAAGAAGUUUUGACACAGAGACUAGCCAAACUGCUUCAGAGAUUUUAGCAUAACAACAUACGAAGACUGAGCAGAUCAAUACUUAAAGCACUCCACUAUGCUCAGGAAGAAAACCAUGCAUCAAGGAGGAUACAGAACUAGACUGGAUUUCCAGUUUCUCCUGGAUCAAGUCUAGGUUCGUACCAUUGGAAGCCUAUUCUGAAAGGCCCAUUUACACAGAUUUUUUGUUCAAUAAAAUGUUAGUUCCGUUUCCAAUUAUACCUAUAAAAAACCAGUAACUUCUUACCUGCAAGUUUAAUUUCUCCAAAUCCAGAAAAUGCCAGUCCAGUUGGCAAUUUGCCCUCCUACCAGCAGAUGAAGACAGGAAAUAAACCAAACAGACUAAUUCCCUAAGAAAGGGAAUCAUAUCAGCUGAAUGCUCCAGUUCAAGAACUACCUGAGUAGUGAAAGUGAAAAUAAAAGCUUAAAAAAAUAAAAACAUUUGAAUAACAAAGAACAAGCUUUAAAAACCUUUGUUUAGGACAAAAAAUAUGGAAUGCAAACUGAAAUAUAUAGCAUACAUGAAUAUAACUAAAACCUGUAAGAGCAACUCUAAAACAAAAGGGAACUCUCAAACUGUCAGUGCUGUAUCAAGACAGUGAGUUGUCUGGACUGGUAUGUCAUUGGACUUCGAGAAAUUAGAUCAGCAGGUAUGAAAAUUAGCUACUUACCAGUAGAUUUUGAUGCUGCAAUGUACCACCUCUCUCAGGUUUGUGCCCUGCGCACAGACACAGUACUCCCCAAAUCAGAUGCCAGAGCAGUUAAAUCCCAGCAGACUUUCUAAUGGCAGCUGCUGCAGUGAGAAAAAGCAGGCAUGUCCUAUCGCACCACAUUUUCUUACUGUUUUGGACUGGCUAACAGAUCUUCAUGUGUCACAGUAACAGGACUAGUUGUGCCACAGAACAGAUGCUGCAUUGCGUUGAGGCCCUCAGAUGUUCAACGCUCAUUAUUUUGAAAGGCCUUACUUACCCCUGCUCCCAACCUUAUAAUUCUACAUUGGAUAAAAAUACUGGAAUCUGGAAUGCAUUAAUUAUUUACGCCCGGUAACUUAAAAGUUUCUGUGUUUGCUACCUCUAUGCAAUGCCUUCACCCAUAGAAGUGCAGCCAUGGAAGAAGAGAAAGAAUGCCACUAAGAAAACAGACUCUAGUAUCACACAUCAGAGGUUCAGAGAAGGGGACAUUGCCAUGCUAACAUCAUUAGGCUGUUAUUCAGAAAUGUUUGGCUUCCUGUUGCACAAUAAACCCAUGCAGUCCCUCUGGAUUCUAAGAAUAGCAUGUCCUCCAUCAUGUUGGAAGCUUGGUUGCAAUUUUGUUUAGUUCUGCGUAUUUCUUUGCUGGGCCUCACUCUGUACACUCUACUCUGAAUUGCAGGAGUCUGCCCAUGUACUAUGCCGAGAUGAACUUUUCUUAGCUAUACCUUUAAGCAAAGGGAAAAUUCCUACUACUCUACAGGCUUCCACUGCACUGAAAACAGAACUUCCCUUCCUGCUGUCUAUGCACACCUCUGUAAACAGAACAGGGGUACAGUAUUGCAGCAAACUUCAAAAGAAAGAAUUCCACAAAACCAAAAUCCAAAACACUGUCUGAACAAAAGUUUUACCAUCUACCAAAAGCUGCACUGUAUUUUCUACACUGUUAAAGAAAAAAUAAUGUGCCGACAAGUUGGGAAAAGGAGCCGAGAACAGACCAGACUACAGUACUAAGGAUUUAAAACUGCUGCUGCAAAUUUGGGCGAGAUAGAGGAUAUACAGGAAGCAUUACAAAUAAAAGCGUAGCUAAUGUGAAUUAUGGUUUGAUAGCAAGGAUCCAUGAAAGCUUUCAAAGGAAACAAGGAUUGGCAUUCUCAAUCUUUUACAUUGUAGGAAAGAAAAUCGCCAAGACCAAAGACUACAUUUUAAUCUCCUGCUUCCUUUCAGUGAGAAAAUAAAGGAGCUACAACAAAUUGGAUUUAAUGUACUGAUGCAGUUGAGGAAUUCCGUUUCUUAAGAAAAAAAAAGCCUUACAAGCACACUAUCUGAAAAAGAAGUUAAGAGUACUAAAAAAGCUAUCCAGACUUCCUGUUUCUCCAGAUGAUUUUGGUUUUGAGUGAGGAUUGCAAAGCUCAGCAACCCAGACUGAAAGUUCUACUUGUCUGGAAGGCAGGAUACAUUAGCCUGAGCCCAGUGCAGUGCUAACAGGGCAAAAUAGCCUUCUGGACAGUUUACUCGAACAGUCAAUGCCUGAGAGUGAGGCAUGAGUGACAAGCUGUGUACAGCUCAUGAGUGGAAACAUACGCAGAACACUUGCUGUAAUUAAAGUGUCACAGAAACAAACAGUCUCUCAGGGUUGCAACUAAAUUGUCAUUUCCUGUGAUUACAAAGACAUCUGUAUUAUCCAGACAGGAACUGCAGUAUUGCUGGAUCUGACAGCUAUAUUAAAAUAUGACGAAUGGGAGACUACAAGCACUGUUUAGGGCUUGAAAACACUGACCAAUUCUGAAGAAACAGCCAGACAAAUUAAAUAAAUCUAGCUUUAAGAUUUGCUAAAACAUACAAAAAAUUCUUAAUUACACAGACAAGCUUAAUACCAUGUAAGACCACGAGUGUCCCUGCAAUUUAAUUUGAGUCUUAUUUGUGCCAUAACCAAAGACAGAAUUCCAAACACAGAAGAGUUCUUGACUUUUCUUUCCUCCACAGAAUACCAGGACAAGACAGGGAUAUAGGAGGGAGAUAAAAAAACAGAGCAGCAUAAAAUAUAGCAUAGCCACUGAAUUUAAGAAAUAAAUUUUCAAUACAUGUGAUAAAUUAAAUAAAAAAUAAAAAAUUAAACUAUUGCACCAGCUGGGACAAAGGGACUGUACCCUCUUACACCAGGCACACCAGCCUGGAAACCUGAAAAAUA